RNAcentral lists this ribosomal RNA (253 nucleotides) under uncultured bacterium. Its description in RNAcentral is "partial 16S ribosomal RNA". It matches the Rfam family "Bacterial small subunit ribosomal RNA", at positions 524 to 776 of the family's 1533-position model. The record is from RNAcentral.
UACGUAGGGUGCAAGCGUUGUCCGGAAUUAUUGGGCGUAAAGAGCUCGUAGGCGGUUUGUCGCGUCUGCCGUGAAAGUCCGGGGCUCAACUCCGGAUCUGCGGUGGGUACGGGCAGACUAGAGUGAUGUAGGGGAGACUGGAAUUCCUGGUGUAGCGGUGAAAUGCGCAGAUAUCAGGAGGAACACCGAUGGCGAAGGCAGGUCUCUGGGCAUUAACUGACGCUGAGGAGCGAAAGCACGGGGAGCGAACAGG